UGGGGAAUAUUGGACAAUGGGCGAAAGCCUGAUCCAGCCAUGCCGCGUGAGUGAUGAAGGCUCUAGGGUUGUAAAGCUCUUUCGCCGAUGAAGAUAAUGACGGUAGUCGGAGAAGAAGCCCCGGCUAACUUCGUGCCAGCAGCCGCGGUAAUACGAAGGGGGCUAGCGUUGUUCGGAAUUACUGGGCGUAAAGCGCGCGUAGGCUGUGUCGCAAGUCAGAGGUGAAAUCCCGGAGCUUAACUUCGGAACUGCCUUUGAAACUGCGAUGCUGGAAUCUCAGAGGGGGUAGCGGAAUUCCAAAUGUAGGGGUGAAAUCCGUAGAUAUUUGGAGGAACACCGGUGGCGAAGGCGGCUACCUGGCUGAGUAUUGACGCUGAGGCGCGAAAGCGUGGGGAUCAAA
Molecule: ribosomal RNA, 400 nt
Filed under: uncultured bacterium
Lineage: Bacteria
Description: bacterial SSU rRNA
Rfam family: Bacterial small subunit ribosomal RNA
Source: RNAcentral